RNAcentral lists this ribosomal RNA (404 nucleotides) under Verrucomicrobiota bacterium. RNAcentral describes it as "Verrucomicrobia bacterium partial 16S ribosomal RNA". It matches the Rfam family "Bacterial small subunit ribosomal RNA", at positions 355 to 776 of the family's 1533-position model. The record is from RNAcentral. Lineage: Bacteria; Pseudomonadati; Verrucomicrobiota.
UGGGGAAUAUUGCACAAUGGGGGAAACCCUGAUGCAGCGACGCCGCGUGAGCGAAGAAGGACUUCGGGUCGUAAAGCUCUUUUAUGAGGGAAGAUAAUGACGGUACCUCAAGAAAAAGCCCCGGCUAACUACGUGCCAGCAGCCGCGGUAAUACGUAGGGGGCUAGCGUUGUCCGGAAUCACUGGGCGUAAAGGGUUCGCAGGCGGAAUAACAAGUCAGAUGUGAAAGGCAUGGGCUCAACCCAUGUAAGCAUUUGAAACUGUAAUUCUUGAGAAGUGGAGAGGUAAGUGGAAUUCCUAGUGUAGCGGUGAAAUGCGUAGAUAUUAGGAGGAAUACCUGUGGCGAAGGCGACUUACUGGACACAAAUCUGACGCUGAGGAACGAAAGCGUGGGUAGCAAACAGG